This 2243-nucleotide long non-coding RNA is filed under the name Lupinus angustifolius (narrow-leaved blue lupine). RNAcentral's name for it is "long non-coding RNA (LANG_LNC002713)". The record is from RNAcentral. Lineage: Eukaryota; Viridiplantae; Streptophyta; Magnoliopsida; Fabales; Fabaceae.
AGCAUGUGAUCCACAACUACAUGACGCAGGCGGCAGGCUUCAAAUUAACAUAAGUAAUAUAAUAGUAUACCUCAUUGACCCAGUAAGAAUUGAGGACCCUAAGGCCACCAAGUUUCCUACCAGCACGCUCCUCAGCAACUGACCUCUUCGAACGCUGAAACUUGAGUUGAGUAACUCCCUGGUUUGUGGGUUUACCAUAGACAAUACCUUUGGGAACUGGUCUCUUCCUGCCACCCCUCCGAACGCGAACACGGUAAACAACAUAACCCUAGAAAGUGAUCACAAUCAUUACUAAACCAUAACAAAUGAGGCAAGGACAAGCAGCUCAACAAGGGCAUACCAGUUAUGCAAUUAUACAGCUAUGUAUUUAUCGAAAGGUAUAACCGGCUAUGCAAUUACUAAACCAUUACAAGAUCACUGCAAAAUAAAUGGUAUACCUCUAGCAGAGGAAAAAGAUGUGUACAAGCCCACAAGAAACAAAUUAUGAGAGAAGAAACAGAAGAAAAAUGUCUUACUUGCUUAGCUUUGUAACCCAAACGACGAGCCUUGUCCGGGCGAGUAGGCCUUGUCAGGCGAACAAUGGAAGGUUGCUGCCUAUACUCCCAGCACCUUACUCGCUGCAAGAAUCGCAUGACAUCGGACUGUUUCUUGCGCCAAAGCUCAGAGACAUACUUAUAGGCACCUAUUGUCAAUCAGAACAACAAAACAAAAUCAAACAUUAUAUCAAAGUAAAACAAAAAAUUGAUGCAUAGUUAAUGUAUCAAAAUGCUUAAUAGAAUGCAUAAUAAAUUGGUUCGCCAAAUAAUAAUUGGGCAUUGUACUUUUAAACAACUACGCAAGUACGCAUGACAUUAGCUUUCAAAAAUUUAAUAGUACUCCAGAUUCUGAAAUCUAACAAAAUAGAAGUAGGUUCUCCAAGCUGAGUAAGAAUUGCAUGGUACAUGCCAGUGAAAAGCAAUAACAUUUCAACCACCACGAAAAUAGAACACAAAAAUGACAUUGGUCUAUUUAAAAAAUGAAAAAUAUAUAUUUAAAACUAUGAUCCCAAAAACAAAUCUUAGUGCUAGUUGAAGACAGAAAACUAUUUUUUCUUAUUAUGGCUUUUACACUAAAACCCUGAACCCUCUUAAGGUUGCAAAUCAAAAUAAAGAAGCAUAAGUUAGCUUAUAAUUCAUAUCAGCUUAUCAUAUACCAAAAUGAAUUUUCAGCUAAGUCGACAGCUUAUUACUCUAUUAUUACAUUAGUUGAUAGACAAAUUAUGAAUCCAAAUUUAAUCUACGAAUAAAGAAUUAAAAAACAAAGAAUGCUUUAUAUUAAAAAUGCAUAUCAAAUUAAAACGAAUAGAUUGAUGAAUGGAACUAAAAAACGGAAAACAGAACAUAACAAGAGAUUGAAAGAGUGAGAGACACAGUACCCAUUGCGCAGUCACGUAAGUUGAAGCUCAACGCACCAAAUAAGAGAAAGGUAGGGUUUGUAUGUGUUACUACAUUUUAUAGAAGCGCCACUAUUUAAUGGGCUUCUAACAUGUCUUUGGGCUGGGCCCAUGCUUUCUGUUUUUCUUCACUAACUAGUAACUUUUAAAUUAGGUUAACACAAUUAUUAUUAUUUAAUUAAAAUAAAAUAAAAACAAUACAUAAGUUUUUUAUGUUUGUUUUUGUUAGAGGGUAGGAGGGAAAGAGAAUGCUUUAUAGUUAUUAAAUAUACUUGUAAAAUAAUUUUACUUUUUUUUUAUUAUUUUUCUCUUCAAAAAUCAAUUCGUAAAUAAAACCCUCAUUAUAAAACUUUUAAGGAGGAGAUGAGUGUAGAAAGUAUAGCUACUAAAUUUCUACUUUUAAAUUAUUUUUAUUUUUAAUUUACUUUCAUAAGUUUUUUGCUUUAUUUUGGUCUUAUCAAAUCAUUUUUCAUAAGUUGCUGAGCCAGGUUCAAAUUUUUAAAUGGCAGCAUGAGCAACAUCCACCAAAAUUAUCUCAAAGUAUUUGUAAGUGGAAUCCUGAAAAAACAUAUUCCGGUACGAGAAUAAGCAUGUGAUCCACAACUACAUGACGCAGGCGGCAGGCUUCAAAUUAACAUAAGUAAUAUAAUAGUAUACCUCAUUGACCCAGUAAGAAUUGAGGACCCUAAGGCCACCAAGUUUCCUACCAGCACGCUCCUCAGCAACUGACCUCUUCGAACGCUGAAACUUGAGUUGAGUAACUCCCUGGUUUGUGGGUUUACCAUAGACAAUACCUUUGGGAACUGGUCUC